GGUUAAGCGACUAAGCGUACACGGUGGAUGCCCUGGCAGUCAGAGGCGAUGAAGGACGUGCUAAUCUGCGAAAAGCGUCGGUAAGGUGAUAUGAACCGUUAUAGCCGGCGAUGUCCGAAUGGGGAAACCCAGUGUGAUUCGUCACACUAUCGUUAACUGAAUACAUAGGUUAACGAGGCGAACCGGGGGAACUGAAACAUCUAAGUACCCCGAGGAAAAGAAAUCAACCGAGAUUCCCCCAGUAGCGGCGAGCGAACGGGGAGCAGCCCAGAGUCUGAAUCAGCUUGUGUGUUAGUGGAACGGUCUGGAAAGUCCGACGGUACAGGGUGAUAGUCCCGUACACCAAAAUGCACAGGUUGUGAACUCGAAGAGUAGGGCGGGACACGUGGUAUCCUGUCUGAAUAUGGGGGGACCAUCCUCCAAGGCUAAAUACUCCUGACUGACCGAUAGUGAACCAGUACCGUGAGGGAAAGGCGAAAAGAACCCCGGCGAGGGGAGUGAAAAAGAACCUGAAACCGUGUACGUACAAGCAGUGGGAGCACCUUCGGGUGUGACUGCGUACCUUUUGUAUAAUGGGUCAGCGACUUAUAUUCUGUAGCAAGGUUAACCGUAUAGGGGAGCCGCAGGGAAACCGAGUCUUAACUGGGCGUUAAGUUGCAGGGUAUAGACCCGAAACCCGGUGAUCUAGCCAUGGGCAGGUUGAAGGUUGGGUAACACUAACUGGAGGACCGAACCGACUAAUGUUGAAAAAUUAGCGGAUGACUUGUGGCUGGGGGUGAAAGGCCAAUCAAACCGGGAGAUAGCUGGUUCUCCCCGAAAGCUAUUUAGGUAGCGCCUCGUGAAUUCAUCUUCGGGGGUAGAGCACUGUUUCGGCUAGGGGGUCAUCCCGACUUACCAACCCGAUGCAAACUACGAAUACCGAAGAAUGUUAUCACGGGAGACACACGGCGGGUGCUAACGUCCGUCGUGAAGAGGGAAACAACCCAGACCGCCAGCUAAGGUCCCAAAGUCAUGGUUAAGUGGGAAACGAUGUGGGAAGGCACAGACAGCCAGGAUGUUGGCUUAGAAGCAGCCAUCAUUUAAAGAAAGCGUAAUAGCUCACUGGUCGAGUCGGCCUGCGCGGAAGAUGUAACGGGGCUAAACCAUGCACCGAAGCUGCGGCAGCGACACGAUGUGUUGUUGGGUAGGGGAGCGUUCUGUAAGCCUGCGAAGGUGACCUGUGAGGGUUGCUGGAGGUAUCAGAAGUGCGAAUGCUGACAUAAGUAACGAUAAAGCGGGUGAAAAGCCCGCUCGCCGGAAGACCAAGGGUUCCUGUCCAACGUUAAUCGGGGCAGGGUGAGUCGACCCCUAAGGCGAGGCCGAAAGGCGUAGUCGAUGGGAAACAGGUUAAUAUUCCUGUACUUGGUGUUACUGCGAAGGGGGGACGGAGAAGGCUAUGUUAGCCGGGCGACGGUUGUCCCGGUUUAAGCAUGUAGGCUGGUUAUCCAGGCAAAUCCGGAUAAUCAAGGCUGAGGUGUGAUGACGAGGCACUACGGUGCUGAAGUAACAAAUGCCCUGCUUCCAGGAAAAGCCUCUAAGCAUCAGGUAACAUCAAAUCGUACCCCAAACCGACACAGGUGGUCAGGUAGAGAAUACCAAGGCGCUUGAGAGAACUCGGGUGAAGGAACUAGGCAAAAUGGUGCCGUAACUUCGGGAGAAGGCACGCUGGUGUGUAGGUGAAGUCCCUGCGGAUGGAGCUGAGACCAGUCGAAGAUACCAGCUGGCUGCAACUGUUUAUUAAAAACACAGCACUGUGCAAACACGAAAGUGGACGUAUACGGUGUGACGCCUGCCCGGUGCCGGAAGGUUAAUUGAUGGGGUUAUCCGUAAGGAGAAGCUCUUGAUCGAAGCCCCGGUAAACGGCGGCCGUAACUAUAACGGUCCUAAGGUAGCGAAAUUCCUUGUCGGGUAAGUUCCGACCUGCACGAAUGGCGUAAUGAUGGCCAGGCUGUCUCCACCCGAGACUCAGUGAAAUUGAACUCGCUGUGAAGAUGCAGUGUACCCGCGGCAAGACGGAAAGACCCCGUGAACCUUUACUAUAGCUUGACACUGAACAUUGAGCCUUGAUGUGUAGGAUAGGUGGGAGGCUUUGAAGCGUGGACGCCAGUCUGCGUGGAGCCAACCUUGAAAUACCACCCUUUAAUGUUUGAUGUUCUAACGUGGGCCCCUAAUCGGGGUUGCGGACAGUGUCUGGUGGGUAGUUUGACUGGGGCGGUCUCCUCCCAAAGCGUAACGGAGGAGCACGAAGGUUAGCUAAUCCUGGUCGGACAUCAGGAGGUUAGUGCAAUGGCAUAAGCUAGCUUGACUGCGAGCGUGACGGCGCGAGCAGGUGCGAAAGCAGGUCAUAGUGAUCCGGUGGUUCUGAAUGGAAGGGCCAUCGCUCAACGGAUAAAAGGUACUCCGGGGAUAACAGGCUGAUACCGCCCAAGAGUUCAUAUCGACGGCGGUGUUUGGCACCUCGAUGUCGGCUCAUCACAUCCUGGGGCUGAAGUAGGUCCCAAGGGUAUGGCUGUUCGCCAUUUAAAGUGGUACGCGAGCUGGGUUUAGAACGUCGUGAGACAGUUCGGUCCCUAUCUGCCGUGGGCGCUGGAGAAUUGAGGGGGGCUGCUCCUAGUACGAGAGGACCGGAGUGGACGCAUCACUGGUGUUCGGGUUGUCAUGCCAAUGGCACUGCCCGGUAGCUAAAUGCGGAAGAGAUAAGUGCUGAAAGCAUCUAAGCACGAAACUUGCCCCGAGAUGAGUUCUCCCUGAGACUUUAAGUCUCCUGAAGGAACGUUGAAGACGACGACGUUGAUAGGCCGGGUGUGUAAGCGCAGCGAUGCGUUGAGCUAACCGGUACUAAUGAACCGUGAGGCUUAACCUU
This 2902-nucleotide ribosomal RNA is filed under the name Klebsiella quasipneumoniae. RNAcentral describes it as "23S ribosomal RNA". It matches the Rfam family "Bacterial large subunit ribosomal RNA". The record is from RNAcentral. Lineage: Bacteria; Pseudomonadati; Pseudomonadota; Gammaproteobacteria; Enterobacterales; Enterobacteriaceae. RNAcentral also lists the same sequence under 1 other name.